GUGCUUACUUUGGCAGCACAUAUACUAAAAUUGGAAUGCUACAGAGAAGAUUAGCAUAGUCUCUACGCGAGGAUGAUAUACAGAUUCAUGAAGCAUUCCAUAUUUGG
Vulpes vulpes (red fox) is the source of this 107-nucleotide small nuclear RNA. The record is from Ensembl. Lineage: Eukaryota; Metazoa; Chordata; Mammalia; Carnivora; Canidae.